RNAcentral lists this ribosomal RNA (402 nucleotides) under Cercozoa sp. RNAcentral's name for it is "partial small subunit ribosomal RNA". It matches the Rfam family "Eukaryotic small subunit ribosomal RNA", at positions 582 to 975 of the family's 1831-position model. The record is from RNAcentral. Lineage: Eukaryota; Cercozoa.
AUUCCAGCUCCAAUAGCGUAUAUUAAAGUUGUUGCAGUUAAAAAGCUCGUAGUUGGAUUUCUGGUUCAGAGGGCUUGGCCCAUGGCCAAUUCUAGGUUCAUGAGUGCCGAUGCUUUCGUACCAUCCUUCCGGUGAUGAUUCAGGUCCCCUUCAUUGGGUCAGCCUGGUUGUUCCGGAUCUUUUACUUUGAAAAAAUUAGAGUGUUUAAAGCAAGCUGUGUGUUGAAUACAUUAGCAUGGAAUAAUAAUCUAGGAUUUUGGUUCUAUUUUGUUGGUUUCUAGCGCCAAAGUAAUGAUUGAUAGGGAUAGUUGGGGGUGCUAGUAUUUACCGGCCAGAGGUGAAAUUCUUGGAUUCGGUAAAGACUAACUUAUGCGAAAGCAUUCACCAAGGAUGUCUUCAUCG